This 298-nucleotide RNase P RNA is filed under the name Acidimicrobiales bacterium. RNAcentral's name for it is "partial RNase P RNA component class A". It matches the Rfam family "Bacterial RNase P class A", at positions 57 to 367 of the family's 367-position model. From Rfam's summary of the family: Ribonuclease P (RNase P) is a ubiquitous endoribonuclease, found in archaea, bacteria and eukarya as well as chloroplasts and mitochondria. Its best characterised activity is the generation of mature 5'-ends of tRNAs by cleaving the 5'-leader elements of precursor-tRNAs. The record is from RNAcentral. Lineage: Bacteria; Bacillati; Actinomycetota; Acidimicrobiia; Acidimicrobiales.
CUCCCCAGGGCAACGGUGCUGGCGAGAGCCAGGACGGGGCGACCUGUCGGUACAGGGCAACAGAGAGCAGACCGCCGAUGGCCUCCGGGCACAGGCAAGGCUGAAACGGUGCGGUAAGAGCGCACCAGCGUCACGGGCGACCGUGGCGGCUAGGCAACCCCCACCGGGAGCAAGGCCGAACAGGGACAGGGCGGCCCGCCCGCUACGUCCCAGGUGGGCCGCACAGAUGGAUGGUCACCCAUCGGGACCCCCGCGAGGGACCCGAGGACAGGAUCCCGCCUACAGGGCAGCUCACCAC